UACGUAGGGGGCGAGCGUUGUCCGGAUUUACUGGGCGUAAAGAGCGCGCAGGCGGUCGACCAAGUCGAGUGUGAAAGCCCCCGGCUCAACUGGGGAGGGUCAUUCGAUACUGAUCGACUCGAAGGCAGGAGAGGGUAGUGGAAUUCCCGGUGUAGUGGUGAAAUGCGUAGAUAUCGGGAGGAACACCAGUGGCGAAGGCGACUUCCUGGCCUGUUCUUGACGCUGAGGCGCGAAAGCUAGGGGAGCAAACGGG
This 253-nucleotide ribosomal RNA is filed under the name uncultured bacterium. RNAcentral's name for it is "partial 16S ribosomal RNA". It matches the Rfam family "Bacterial small subunit ribosomal RNA", at positions 524 to 776 of the family's 1533-position model. The record is from RNAcentral.